This 253-nucleotide ribosomal RNA is filed under the name uncultured prokaryote. RNAcentral's name for it is "partial 16S ribosomal RNA". It matches the Rfam family "Bacterial small subunit ribosomal RNA", at positions 525 to 777 of the family's 1533-position model. The record is from RNAcentral.
ACGGAGGGUGCGAGCGUUGUUCGGAAUCACUGGGCGUAAAGGGCGUGUAGGCGGUCCGCUAAGUCUGAUGUGAAAGCCCGGGGCUCACCCCCGGAAGUGCAUUGGAAACUGGCGAACUCGAGUCCCGGAGAGGAGAGUGGAAUUCCUGGUGUAGCGGUGAAAUGCGUAGAUAUCAGGAGGAACACCGGUGGCGAAGGCGGCUCUCUGGACGGUGACUGACGCUGAGACGCGAAAGCGUGGGGAGCAAACAGGA